RNAcentral lists this transfer RNA (76 nucleotides) under Verrucomicrobiaceae bacterium. Its description in RNAcentral is "tRNA-Val". It matches the Rfam family "tRNA". Rfam says of the family: Transfer RNA (tRNA) molecules are approximately 80 nucleotides in length. The record is from RNAcentral. Lineage: Bacteria; Pseudomonadati; Verrucomicrobiota; Verrucomicrobiia; Verrucomicrobiales; Verrucomicrobiaceae.
GGAGACAUAGCGCAGUGGUAGUCGCGUUUCCUUGACAUGGAAAAGGUCCUGGGUUCGAUCCCCAGUGUCUCCACCA